RNAcentral lists this long non-coding RNA (5763 nucleotides) under Gossypium barbadense (sea-island cotton). RNAcentral describes it as "long non-coding RNA (GBAR_LNC010180)". Lineage: Eukaryota; Viridiplantae; Streptophyta; Magnoliopsida; Malvales; Malvaceae. The record is from RNAcentral.
ACCGAGUCCAAGACAGAGACAGUAUCGUCACAGUUUUGCAGGAAAAUAAAACCAUGAAUCAGUGUUGAUCAGCGUAUGAUAUGAUAUCAUGGGGCAACCACUGAAUUGAAUAUUCAAACAGUCCACAACUAGGGUAGAUAGGAAAUAGUUGGAUAGAAUUUGCAAGUCAUCUCUCAAUCAACUUGGUAAGGUCGUAACUCGAACCGCUUUUGCUUUGCAGCUCCAUCUUGGAACCUUCCCUUUGAAAAAUUCCACACUUAAAAUGAUAAUAAUAAUUAAAAACAUGACGAUAGUUUCUUAUCAAAUAAUUAUUAUAUAAAAGGAUUGCGUGCGACUUAAAUAAAUUUUCAUAUAAUUGACCGCAUCCCAGUCUAUGAUAUGGAUUGGUUACCAACCUAAAGUAGAAGUGAAAGGUGGCUUUCUGGCUUUAAAUAUUAACCAAAAGGCAGGCAGAGCAAUUGCUAAGCUACCAUGGCUUUCUUCUUCUUCUUUUUUUAUUUUUUAUUGUUGACUCCUUCCAUUGCAAACCCAAAUGCAAAUAUGAUGAAAUUCGUUACUAUCCUUUGUUGUUGUUGUACGCAAAUGUGAUUGAAUAUUUGCAACUGGUAUUGGAUACUUUUAAAAAAAAUUCCAAAAAAAUAGUUCUUAAGAUGUGUUAUUAAGAUACUAACUUUAACUUCAACUUUAUAUAAAAUUUUAGUAAAAGAAAGUAUUAGUUAUUAAUAGUUUUUUUAUUCAUUAACGAGUUUUCUUAAUUUUGUAUGUAUUAAUUAAAUUAUAUUUAUUUUUUUUAAAAUUUUGUAACCUAUUAUUAAUAAUAUACCUUUAAAAUUAAAACAUAAUAAUAUAUAAUUGAUAUCAGAAUAAAUUAUAUUCUGAAAUUAUUUUUAAAAUAUAAAUAUUAUAAUAAUAACUGUUCUUCUCGCCUCAGUAAUAUCAACAAUUGGUGCGAUGAGUGUAGAUUACAUGACUUCUCAAUCCUAAAGUGGCACCUCAACUAACUAAACCAACUAGACCAAAAACCUAACUGACCAAGUCAACUCUUUUGUUCCACUCAACACCGUCAUCUUGAAAUAUUUCUACUAGCUUGAUCUCUACACAAACCUUUUUUUCGACCUCCAUUUUCGCUAGAGCUCAAUUGCAAUAUGUAAGCAUCAUUCUUCUCACUUUGGAACAACUGGCAAAGGCUCUAGAAGAUUAUCUAGCCUCCAACUCUACCACUCUUGAUUCACCAGCAGGAGUAGCUCCACUAGUCACCUUGACUCCCUAGCAAUUACAAUGCAUCAGUUACAGCCUAAUGUGAUUCCUCCUGGACCUUUCGACCAUAUAGCCCACUACUUGUAAGAAAUUGUAACCUAUCUCACAAUUGUACCUUCUCAUCCAAUCACAACUCCCAUCCUACUAGACUAGGGUUCUCACCAAUAAGCAUCAGUUCCUCAGCCUCAUGACUUAGAGACUCAAAAGAAACUGUGACGUCUAGAAGAGCAAUUCUCUUAUCAAGAACGUCCCUUCAAUGAGCAACAACAUAUCCUUGACAAAAGGAGUGCUCAAAAUGAACAGCUUAUUACAGAGUUGAGAGCCGCACGAAAGGUCCCGAGGUAAGAAAACCUAGAGCAUUAGGAGGAGGAAGCUCAAUCUAUGCUCCAAGGGGGUAACGAGCGCAACAAUUUGGAAGGUCUUCACAGGCACAAUGCCGACCUCCCAGCGACAUCCCAACACUCCUAAGGUAAGAACAACAUCUCCAUAGAAAAACAACUCAAGGCUUUCAAGGCAAAGCUGAUGCAAGAGGUAAAAAGAGGGAAGAUCAGAUGAAUUUAUCUACAACUACUCCAAUGAAUCGUUGGUGACAUCCCAUUUCUCUUUUUCUAUUCAUUCAAUUCAUUUCUAUUUAAAUACUUAAUUCAUUUCUAGUUUCAACGAGCUAUCGAAGGGAUUGAUUGGAAAUAUGAAGUUGAGGUUCAAAUGAUUUAUAAUUAAGUUUUGACUUUUUACUUAUUAAUUAUAAACUUAUUUAGUCAUGAAGUCAUUCCACUAGAUUAUCGUGAUUGAGCUCUUCCCAACGACAUACCAUUACGAAAGCAACUACUUAGUGCUCGUUCAAUGACUUUGUCAUUAGUGUGUUACCUUCAUAGAAUAUUCUUGAUCUCUUUCGGAUAAUAACUAUUCCUAGUAUGAUCAUAUUUUAUCUCAUGGUAACCAUUACAUCUUCCUUCAUGAAAAGUCAAUCACUAUCAAUUAGUGAUCAAGUCAUCUAUCACAAAGAUGGACGACUCGUGACCACAUUUACUUUUCAUCAAUCAUGUAAUGUCAAUAAAAGAAUAUUAUUUACCUAUGUUUUGGGCUAUAAAUUUCACUGUUGUACACUCAACGCACUAGUUUUCGGUUCCUUAUCUAUUUGAACUCAGGCUUUUGCUUACAUCAAAGUGUACGAGUCACGUAUACAUAGUUAACCAUCCACUUAGGAUUUAGGUAUGUCAUACUAUGAACGUCACAACUGAAUAAUUCCUUGGAAAAGAGAAAGUUAUCAGAUCAAAGUGUUUCGAAGAAGGCUACGUUAUGCUAGAUUGUUCAUCUCCCCUAGCCAUUUGUAACAAAAUUUUAGUAGAAUGGUGAAAAUAACUCUGAUAGCUACAGAGAACAAAAAUGAUAAAGCGAACCGAAGCGAAAGAACUUCAAAAAUGCAUAAAUCGUUCCAAAAAACAAACAAUGGCUAGUAAAUCGCUAAAAGAAAAAGAGGCAAAGUAAUUUCGAAGAAAAAACCUAGAGAAUAUAUAGAUCUAUCUCUCAAAACAUAUCGUUUUGAAGAAAAAAUGACACCCAAUAGCAACUUACCACCUGUUCUAAAAGACUGUUGUUCAUCAUUAUCACAUAUCGUUUGGAUAUAACGUUUCACUAUAAAAUAAAGCCACCAUUCGAAAUAACAUGGAAAAGAGAAAGUUAUCAUAUCAAAGUGUGUCGAAGAAAGCCACUUUAUAACCCUUCUCUCGAUUCUGGAGGGGGAUAUUAUUAUACCCCCAUCUGUGUUAGGACACAUGGCAAGCCUAGAAAAGGCCUGAACAAUAAACCUACCUCCAGCAAGCCAAGAGGCCACCGGUGAACUCAUCAUUUCGAGAUGACUACUCGAACAACGGAUGGUCUAAUUUUCAUUGGGAACAUGAAGUUGUUUGGUUACCAAAUAUCAUGGGCACAACUACUUUAUUUCAUCAGAGUCAAAAUGAAUGAUAAGAUUUAUCUUGUCACAAAUAUCCUCGUCCAACACGUUAACACCAUAUUACACGAGACCCCUGCUUAUAAAUACCCCAAGAACGAUGAAGAAAAAAUCAACACUUCGAGAAUAUUAAGCCUGCACCCUGUCAACACACUUUCAGCUCUCAGCCUUUACAUUCUCUUUAUCACUACUAUCCAUAACCUCCGACUCUCUGUCUCAACUGAGUGAACCAACCUCCACAACAACUAUUCUCCUUUCUUCAAUACUCUUUUAUCUUGUUGUGCACUAUAUCAACAACAAUAUUCAUUAUUUUUGCAUUAACGUCGUAUGUUAAAUGAUGAAUGAAUUAAUUAAGAAGACUCCAACAUAGAAGAACUAAUAAUAGAAUUUGAAAUAGAAGACAAAAUACAAUCGAUGGUCAAAUAUGGUAGUCAUCGCGAUGUUUCCCAAUGAGCAAGAAAAUAUGGAGGAACUGCAUACUGGUUACAAAUUGUUCCUUAUUUUGCUAUUUUAAAGGAAUGGUAGCUGAUUGUUCAUUUAUUGGCCUUAAAUAGUAUUUGUAAGCUAUAGGAGACUUGAAGUUAUAUGGGAAAAAUCAUUAAAAAUUGUUGUGUACUUAAUUAACAUUAAUAAAUUUAUUAAAAAAUAUUUGACUAUAUAUAUUAUAUAUGAAAUAAAUAACAUGAAGUAAAAUAUAUCAAAUCAAAUACAUAUUCCAAUUUAAAGAAAUAUAUUUUAAAGUUAGUUUGUUGAUAUUGCAAAAAAAAAAAAUUUCCUGGACAAAUAUUUUUACAUUUUUAUUAAGCAUAAAACUAUAGAAAGAUUUUAACUUUUGUAAUUACUUGAUUAAAAUAAAAUUAAAAAUCAAAAUAAAUACAACAAAAGUAAUUAACGUUUGAUGGUUAAUUAAAUUAAGAUAAAAAUAACAUAAUUAAUUUAAUUAAAAUCAAAUCUAAUAUUAAACAAAGUUAGUAAAGAAUAAUUUUCUCAAGAGUAACGAGUAAUUAACUGUUAAUUAUAACGAUCAUGAACAGUUAAACAAAUUGCCUAAUUAAGAGCCAUUAAAGCUGCCCCUCUGUUUUCUUUUUUCUGUUAACAUAAAACACGUUAAGACUCAUAUUAUUAAUUAUUUAACAAAGAUUACAUGAUGCCAAAUGUCACCACUGUAGUUGCUAAAUGUUAAAACUAUAGAAAAAUGAUUUUUUUAUUUUAAUUAAAACUUAAUUUUUUUCAGAUCACAUCAAACAAAAAAAUCAAUAUUAAAUUAAUGUAUGGUUAAAAAUUUAUUAUAGUGACAUAAAGAUUAAAAUAAAACAUAGAGAAAACUAAAAUAUAAUUCCCAAUUGACCCUAUAAAAUAAAAGUGACGGAAUUUUUGUAUUAUUAAAAUUAAUUAAAUAAUAUUAACAUAAAAUAUUGUUUACUAUUUAACAAAUUUAAUUUUUGUUUUAAGUUUUUAUGGUUUUAUAAAUACAAUUUUCAUUUAUAAUAAUAUUGCAAUUAAAAUUUAAUAAUUUUUAAAAUAUUUUUUAUACUGUAAAUAUUAAAUUUAUUUGGUUCUUUUUAAUAAUAACUGAAAAUCAUUUACCACGUGGCGUUUAAAACUAAGGUCAAGGGGGUGAUGGCCUCUGCUUUUUCCUUUUCCUUUCCCCUUCUCUCUAUUACUUUCACCAACUAACCCUCCAACUCCCCCUUUCUUGCCUUUUACUUUUGAUUCAUGUCAUUUUCUCUGUUUUCAAACAUGCCACAUGCCCUCCUUCAACCAUACUUGUCAUUUGCUUCAAUCCAUUAAAUCAAGAAUAAUAAUUUAAAUUGCAUUAAUUGGAUUAAAAAAUUAGAAAAAAAUAGAUUGAAAAAAUGCGAUAAACUAAUUAAAAUAUUAUUUGAAUAAAAUUUAAAUUAGUUUAAAUAUUUAAUUUUGUUAUUGUAAUUUAGGUCAACAACAGGCCUAGUGUGUCGGGAUCUGAGGGGGGAACUACUGGUCUUAAAGACAAUCAUUCACAACAAUGUUUCCUCCCCAUUUGCAACAGAAGCAUAUGCAUGUUUGGAAGGCACAAAAUUAAGGAUUUCACUGGGAGUUCAAUCGAUUAAACUUAUGGGAGACUCCAAAACAAUAAUAAAAAAAUGUCAAACGAUUUUAACAGAUAAAUCAGUGAUUGGAGCCAUUAUCAGAGACAUUCAGAAUAAGAAAUCUUGUUUUCAAGAGAUCAUCUUUCAACAUAUACACAGAGCAGUGAACUCGCAAGCACAUAGACUAGCAAAAGACGCUCUUGAUAGCGGAGAAACCUCUUACCUGAUGGGAGAAGAGCUGAAUCGACAUAGCUUCGCUUUGGAGAGAAGAUGGCCAAGAAAUCCAGACUGAAGGAGAGUUUGAGGGAAAUGAUUUCAAAAGAAGAUGGCAAGUAAAGUUUUAUCCUUUGGAAAUUGUUAUCGUCAGAACGGAUUGGAUUUUGAAAAGACAAAUCAAGAGAAUUAACGGUAUCCAGCUGUAAGGACUGACUGGGGUAAUUAUUUAGGUUCCUUUUUCUUCCUUUUCAUUUAUUGCUUUCCUUUUCC